This 442-nucleotide ribosomal RNA is filed under the name uncultured prokaryote. RNAcentral's name for it is "bacterial SSU rRNA". It matches the Rfam family "Bacterial small subunit ribosomal RNA", at positions 355 to 796 of the family's 1533-position model. The record is from RNAcentral.
UCGAGAAUCUUCGGCAAUGGGCGAAAGCCUGACCGAGCGAUGCUGCGUGCGGGAUGAAGGCCUUCGGGUUGUAAACCGCUGUCAGUUGGGAGGAAGGACUCAUGAAGAGCGAGUUUUGACCUAUCUUCAGAGGAAGUCCGGGCUAAGUUCGUGGCAGCAGCCGCGGUAACACGAUCCGGACAAACGUUAUUCGGAAUUAUUGGGCUUAAAGGGUGCGUAGGCGGCCAUGUAGGUGGGGUGUGAAAUCCCUCGGCUCAACCGAGGAACUGCGCCGCAAACCACAUGGCUAGAGGGAGACAGAGGUAAGCGGAACUGAUGGUGGAGCGGUGAAAUGCGUUGAUAUCAUCAGGAACACCGGUGGCGAAAGCGGCUUACUGGGUCUCUUCUGACGCUGAGGUACGAAAGCUAGGGUAGCGAACGGGAUUAGAUACCCGCGUAGUCC